This 443-nucleotide ribosomal RNA is filed under the name uncultured bacterium. Its description in RNAcentral is "bacterial SSU rRNA". It matches the Rfam family "Bacterial small subunit ribosomal RNA", at positions 18 to 507 of the family's 1533-position model. The record is from RNAcentral.
CAUGGCUCAGAACGAACGCUGGCGGCAUGCCUAACACAUGCAAGUCGAACGAGACCUUCGGGUCUAGUGGCGCACGGGUGCGUAACGCGUGGGAAUCUGCCCUUUGCUUCGGAAUAACAGUUAGAAAUGACUGCUAAUACCGGAUGAUGUCUUCGGACCAAAGAUUUAUCGGCAAAGGAUGAGCCCGCGUAGGAUUAGGUAGUUGGUGGGGUAAAGGCCUACCAAGCCGACGAUCCUUAGCUGGUCCUGAGAGGAUGAUCAGCCACACUGGGACUGAGACACGGCCCAGACUCCUACGUGAGGCAGCAGUGGGGAAUAUUGGACAAUGGGCGCAAGCCUGAUCCAGCAAUGCCGCGUGAGUGAUGAAGGCCUUCGGGUCGUAAAGCUCUUUACCAGGGAUGAUAAUGACAGUACCUGGAGAAUAAGCUCCGGCUAACUCCGUG